CCCUUGUCCUUAGUUACCAGCACGUUAUGGUGGGCACUCUAAGGAGACUGCCGGUGACAAACCGGAGGAAGGUGGGGAUGACGUCAAGUCAUCAUGGCCCUUACGGCCUGGGCUACACACGUGCUACAAUGGUCGGUACAGAGGGUUGCCAAGCCGCGAGGUGGAGCUAAUCCCACAAAACCGAUCGUAGUCCGGAUCGCAGUCUGCAACUCGACUGCGUGAAGUCGGAAUCGCUAGUAAUCGCGAAUCAGAAUGUCGCGGUGAAUACGUUCCCGGGCCUUGUACACACCGCCCGUCACACCAUGGGAGUGGGUUGCACCAGAAGUAGCUAGUCUAACCUUCGGGAGGACGGUUACCACGGUGUGAUUCAUGACUGGGGUGAAGUCG
Molecule: ribosomal RNA, 387 nt
Filed under: uncultured bacterium
Lineage: Bacteria
Description: bacterial SSU rRNA
Rfam family: Bacterial small subunit ribosomal RNA
Source: RNAcentral